AGCGUACACGGUGGAUGCCCUGGCAGUCAGAGGCGAUGAAGGACGUGCUAAUCUGCGAUAAGCGUCGGUGAGGUGAUAUGAACCGUUAUAACCGGCGAUUUCCGAAUGGGGAAACCCAGUGUGUUUCGACACACUAUCAUUAACUGAAUCCAUAGGUUAAUGAGGCGAACCGGGGGAACUGAAACAUCUAAGUACCCCGAGGAAAAGAAAUCAACCGAGAUUCCCCCAGUAGCGGCGAGCGAACGGGGAGGAGCCCAGAGCCUGAAUCAGUGUGUGUGUUAGUGGAAGCGUCUGGAAAGGCGCGCGAUACAGGGUGACAGCCCCGUACACAAAAAUGCACAUGCUGUGAGCUCGAUGAGUAGGGCGGGACACGUGGUAUCCUGUCUGAAUAUGGGGGGACCAUCCUCCAAGGCUAAAUACUCCUGACUGACCGAUAGUGAACCAGUACCGUGAGGGAAAGGCGAAAAGAACCCCGGCGAGGGGAGUGAAAAAGAACCUGAAACCGUGUACGUACAAGCAGUGGGAGCCUCUUAAUGGGGUGACUGCGUACCUUUUGUAUAAUGGGUCAGCGACUUAUAUUCUGUAGCAAGGUUAACCGAAUAGGGGAGCCGAAGGGAAACCGAGUCUUAACUGGGCGUUAAGUUGCAGGGUAUAGACCCGAAACCCGGUGAUCUAGCCAUGGGCAGGUUGAAGGUUGGGUAACACUAACUGGAGGACCGAACCGACUAAUGUUGAAAAAUUAGCGGAUGACUUGUGGCUGGGGGUGAAAGGCCAAUCAAACCGGGAGAUAGCUGGUUCUCCCCGAAAGCUAUUUAGGUAGCGCCUCGUGAAUUCAUCUCCGGGGGUAGAGCACUGUUUCGGCAAGGGGGUCAUCCCGACUUACCAACCCGAUGCAAACUGCGAAUACCGGAGAAUGUUAUCACGGGAGACACACGGCGGGUGCUAACGUCCGUCGUGAAGAGGGAAACAACCCAGACCGCCAGCUAAGGUCCCAAAGUCAUGGUUAAGUGGGAAACGAUGUGGGAAGGCCCAGACAGCCAGGAUGUUGGCUUAGAAGCAGCCAUCAUUUAAAGAAAGCGUAAUAGCUCACUGGUCGAGUCGGCCUGCGCGGAAGAUGUAACGGGGCUAAACCAUGCACCGAAGCUGCGGCAGCGACACUAUGUGUUGUUGGGUAGGGGAGCGUUCUGUAAGCCUGUGAAGGUGUGCUGUGAGGCAUGCUGGAGGUAUCAGAAGUGCGAAUGCUGACAUAAGUAACGAUAAAGCGGGUGAAAAGCCCGCUCGCCGGAAGACCAAGGGUUCCUGUCCAACGUUAAUCGGGGCAGGGUGAGUCGACCCCUAAGGCGAGGCCGAAAGGCGUAGUCGAUGGGAAACAGGUUAAUAUUCCUGUACUUGGUGUUACUGCGAAGGGGGGACGGAGAAGGCUAUGUUGGCCGGGCGACGGUUGUCCCGGUUUAAGCGUGUAGGCUGGUUUUCCAGGCAAAUCCGGAAAACCAAGGCUGAGGCGUGAUGACGAGGCACUACGGUGCUGAAGCGACAAAUGCCCUGCUUCCAGGAAAAGCCUCUAAGCAUCAGGUAACAUCAAAUCGUACCCCAAACCGACACAGGUGGUCAGGUAGAGAAUACCAAGGCGCUUGAGAGAACUCGGGUGAAGGAACUAGGCAAAAUGGUGCCGUAACUUCGGGAGAAGGCACGCUGAUAUGUAGGUGAAGCGACUUGCUCGUGGAGCUGAAAUCAGUCGAAGAUACCAGCUGGCUGCAACUGUUUAUUAAAAACACAGCACUGUGCAAACACGAAAGUGGACGUAUACGGUGUGACGCCUGCCCGGUGCCGGAAGGUUAAUUGAUGGGGUUAGCGGUAACGCGAAGCUCUUGAUCGAAGCCCCGGUAAACGGCGGCCGUAACUAUAACGGUCCUAAGGUAGCGAAAUUCCUUGUCGGGUAAGUUCCGACCUGCACGAAUGGCGUAAUGAUGGCCAGGCUGUCUCCACCCGAGACUCAGUGAAAUUGAACUCGCUGUGAAGAUGCAGUGUACCCGCGGCAAGACGGAAAGACCCCGUGAACCUUUACUAUAGCUUGACACUGAACAUUGAGCCUUGAUGUGUAGGAUAGGUGGGAGGCUUUGAAGUGUGGACGCCAGUCUGCAUGGAGCCGACCUUGAAAUACCACCCUUUAAUGUUUGAUGUUCUAACGUUGGCCCGUAAUCCGGGUUGCGGACAGUGUCUGGUGGGUAGUUUGACUGGGGCGGUCUCCUCCUAAAGAGUAACGGAGGAGCACGAAGGUUGGCUAAUCCUGGUCGGACAUCAGGAGGUUAGUGCAAUGGCAUAAGCCAGCUUGACUGCGAGCGUGACGGCGCGAGCAGGUGCGAAAGCAGGUCAUAGUGAUCCGGUGGUUCUGAAUGGAAGGGCCAUCGCUCAACGGAUAAAAGGUACUCCGGGGAUAACAGGCUGAUACCGCCCAAGAGUUCAUAUCGACGGCGGUGUUUGGCACCUCGAUGUCGGCUCAUCACAUCCUGGGGCUGAAGUAGGUCCCAAGGGUAUGGCUGUUCGCCAUUUAAAGUGGUACGCGAGCUGGGUUUAGAACGUCGUGAGACAGUUCGGUCCCUAUCUGCCGUGGGCGCUGGAGAACUGAGGGGGGCUGCUCCUAGUACGAGAGGACCGGAGUGGACGCAUCACUGGUGUUCGGGUUGUCAUGCCAAUGGCACUGCCCGGUAGCUAAAUGCGGAAGAGAUAAGUGCUGAAAGCAUCUAAGCACGAAACUUGCCCCGAGAUGAGUUCU
This 2773-nucleotide ribosomal RNA is filed under the name Escherichia coli. Its description in RNAcentral is "bacterial LSU rRNA". It matches the Rfam family "Bacterial large subunit ribosomal RNA". The record is from RNAcentral. Lineage: Bacteria; Pseudomonadati; Pseudomonadota; Gammaproteobacteria; Enterobacterales; Enterobacteriaceae.